AUUGAACGCUGGCGGAAUGCUUUACACAUGCAAGUCGAACGGCAGCACGGGGGUAGCCCUGGUGGCGAGUGGCGAACGGGUGAGUAAUACAUCGGAACGUGCCCGGUCGUGGGGGAUAACGUAGCGAAAGUUACGCUAAUACCGCAUACGAUCUGAGGAUGAAAGCGGGGGACCUUCGGGCCUCGCGCGAUCGGAGCGGCCGAUGUCAGAUUAGGUAGUUGGUGGGGUAAAGGCCUACCAAGCCGACGAUCUGUAGCUGGUCUGAGAGGACGACCAGCCACACUGGGACUGAGACACGGCCCAGACUCCUACGGGAGGCAGCAGUGGGGAAUUUUGGACAAUGGGCGCAAGCCUGAUCCAGCCAUUCCGCGUGCAGGACGAAGGCCUUCGGGUUGUAAACUGCUUUUGUACGGAACGAAAAGGCUCUGGCUAAUACCUGGGGCUCAUGACGGUACCGUAAGAAUAAGCACCGGCUAACUACGUG
Molecule: ribosomal RNA, 484 nt
Filed under: uncultured bacterium
Lineage: Bacteria
Description: partial 16S ribosomal RNA
Rfam family: Bacterial small subunit ribosomal RNA
Source: RNAcentral